Sinocyclocheilus anshuiensis is the source of this 378-nucleotide long non-coding RNA. RefSeq lists it as uncharacterized. NCBI's taxonomy places the organism in Eukaryota, Metazoa, Chordata, Actinopteri, Cypriniformes, Cyprinidae. The record is from RefSeq and is a predicted model, not a curated record. The transcript is spliced from 3 exons.
CAAAGUCAAUAUUUACUCGGAUUUGGUGAAAAGCCAUAGAAAUAAUCCUGAUCAGCCAACUAUGUGAAUUUAGGCUUUUUUUACUGAUUGUUGUUGCAGCAUACCCAUUGCCUUUGACCUGCUGUUUCUGAAGAAGAAGUGGAAGAGUUUUAUCACGUGGACUCUGGUGGCGUUGCUCCUCUUUCUGGUCCCUGUUGUUGUAGUAGACAGCUACUACUAUGGAAAGCUGGUGAUUGCUCCUCUGAAUAUAAUACUAUACAACAUGUUCACUCCUCAUGGGCCCGAUCUUUAUGGCACAGAGCCCUGGCAUUACUACUUUGUGAAUGGUUUCCUUAAUUUCAACAUUGUAUUUGUGUUGGCCCUCUUUUCUCUUCCUCU